GUUGCCCAGAGAUGGUCACCCAAGAGGGGGGUGAAUUGGGUGUUUUAAAACUUUUUGACUAAUUAAAACAAACACACACAAGUGUAUGUGCUAAAGUAAAGUUAAAGCUAUACGCACAGUCAAUCGCAAACACAACGAUUUAUAGUGGUUCGGAGCUUCCACUGCUCCUACAUCCACUCCCCAAAUACCUUUGGGAAUUU
This 200-nucleotide long non-coding RNA is filed under the name Phoenix dactylifera (date palm). RNAcentral's name for it is "long non-coding RNA (PDAC_LNC007426)". Lineage: Eukaryota; Viridiplantae; Streptophyta; Magnoliopsida; Arecales; Arecaceae. The record is from RNAcentral.